CACCUCUAGCAUUACUAGUAUUAGAGGCAAUGCCUGCCCAGUGACACCAGUUUAACGGCCGCGGUAUUCUGACCGUGCAAAGGUAGCAUAAUCACUUGUUCUCCAAAUAAGGACUUGUAUGAAUGGCCACACGAGGGUUUUACUGUCUCUUACUUCCAAUCAGUGAAAUUGACCUUCCCGUGAAGAGGCGGGAAUAAAAAAAUAAGACGAGAAGACCCUAUGGAGCUUUAAUUAACUAUUCCGAAAGUUAAACAAUUCAACCACAAAGGGAUAAAACAUAACUUAACAUGGACUAGCAAUUUCGGUUGGGGUGACCUCGGAGUACAAAAAACCCUCCGAGUGAUUUUAAUCUAGACAAACCAGUCAAAAUAACCAUAACAUCACUUAUUGAUCCAAAAUUUUGAUCAACGGAACAAGUUACCCUAGGGAUAACAGCGCAAUCCUAUUCUAGAGUUCCUAUCGACAAUAGGGUUUACGACCUCGAUGUUGGAUCAGGACACCCAAAUGGUGCAACCGCUAUUAAAGGUUCGUUUGUUCAACGAUUAAAGUCCUACGU
This 556-nucleotide ribosomal RNA is filed under the name Sus scrofa (pig). RNAcentral's name for it is "partial 16S ribosomal RNA". It matches the Rfam family "Bacterial large subunit ribosomal RNA", at positions 1816 to 2601 of the family's 2925-position model. The record is from RNAcentral. Lineage: Eukaryota; Metazoa; Chordata; Mammalia; Artiodactyla; Suidae.